UCCAUAUACUACAGAGACAUGUUUGAAGCCUCUUCCACGGAUUUACCUGAUGAUUGUGCCAGGGGGGUAAAUAUGCUGAUAACAAGACGAGUCUGGCCAGGGUGAUUUUAAUUAAGGAUCUACGCUCCAUGGCCAGUACAAGACACUGCACCACUGAGGUUGUCUGCAUAUUCCCCCACAGCCUUAUUUUCAAUAGAGAACAUGGAAAACACAAUUGAAACAGAAAUAAUAUCAAAUUAAGGAACAGCACAGACAGUAUCAUGGGCCCGAGAAUGACAGUCGACAAGAUAACAUUCAUGCACGUGAGCUGGUUGGGUCAACUUUAACCAACCGCUGAUAAAAUAUUCAUUUCACUGUUGUCAAAUUACAAAACAUAACAUUUUCUCAAAUAAGUAUUAUCAAGACAAUAUGCAGUAAUGGGCGGUCUUCUGAAAAUCUCAAUUCAGGCCUUCUUGUGGUGGAAUUUGCACUUUUCCCCUGUGCUGAUGUGGAUUUUCUCUGGCUUUCUCCUGUUUGAAAUUGUGACACAAGUCCUGGAACCUUUCUAAUACACCUCAUAUUUUACUAUUGUGUAUGAAUGCACUACAUGCAAUAAGUGAUUCUCAACCGGUGUGUCCCGAGACAACAUUAUGUAUGCCACAGGAAACUAUUAUUACUCUACCAUGGUCUGGAAUCCUGCUAUUGCUUGUAGUAUUUGUAUACACUUGGAUUGCUUCAAACUGAGAGGAGUCACUUUGAACAGCUGGUCACCAGUGUAUCAGUGGGAACUGUAGUCAUGCCAAUGCUCCCAGCAAACAGCACCACUGUCAACAUGAAACAUGAUCAGUAUGGGGGUUUCCAUGAAAACAAAACUAAGAACCCCGCCCCCAAAAUAGCCAUAAAGUAUGUACAGUAUGUGUACACACACACACACACACACACACACACACACACACACACACACACACGCUACAUACUGUGAAUGCAUUGUUUAUUGAUAUUCAAAAUAGGCGAGGGGAUGACGUGUAAAUGUUUUAAAUUAGUAUAUGUAGCCAUUAAAUUUCGUCUAAUCAAUUUACAUCGUGUUGAAUCGUUAUUUCCGUACCCAGUGGAGGCAGAAUGAUUUCACCUCUCAAUAUGUAACAGCAGGGGGCGCAAAAAUGCAGAUUUCCUUCCCAAAGAGGCUGAAGAAGAAAUCAAAAAAGUCCAGCUCACAAUCAGAUUUUAUCAUGAAGAAUUGUCAGGAGCCGUAUUUGUCUUUCAUGUUAUUAUGAAAAUAGUGUUAGGAAAAGUGCGACUUGAAUGAAUAUGGACAAGGCCUCUGUUAUGGAUUUCUAGCAUUCCCUAUUGCAACUGUAGCUGGAAAAAAAUAUUAGCCACAUCCCUGAAAAUGUGGCUGAUUGUGCACCCCUGGGAAAAGCGGGAUUUGGUGCAAUGUGUUAUUCUGGCCAGGACUCCUGGUAUGGGUUUGGAGAUUUUCCCGGCCUGUGUUUUCAAAAGAGGCCGUGCCCCCCAGAUGGAAAUGCAAAUUUUAGACAAUGGGAAGAACCAAUUAUAUAAAAUGGAGAGGCGGGAGAGAAUGGGGCUUUAUGCCAUUCCUGGCCCCUUUUUAUAGUCUUAAAACCUUUUAUUUUCGUCAAGAAAUGUUUAACAUGUUCAACUUUUGAGAGGAAAAUAAAUAUAAUAAAAACAGUCUGUUCAGAAAAACCCAAGGCCACGAAAAGGAGUUUCAAAACAUGUAGUAUUGUUUUUGACCACUUGAGGUCGACAAGAGUCCACCAAAAUCAGUCAUUCAGUGAGGGACCACAAACAAUGGCACCUUAACUUACGAGUUUAAUUCAUUCCAUGACCAAACUCGUAAUUGUACUUGUAUAUUCAACGAAUGCUUUUAAUUAAUAAACAGGCUGUACUGGAUAAAUUGAAAGUGAAUUGAAAUAAACAGUUUUCUAAAGACAAAGUACGAGUACAUGUUUUACUAAAAAUAAUUUACAUCAAGCCGGUAAAACGGUUUUACCAUGAC
Molecule: long non-coding RNA, 1999 nt
Organism: Hippocampus zosterae (dwarf seahorse)
Lineage: Eukaryota; Metazoa; Chordata; Actinopteri; Syngnathiformes; Syngnathidae
Exons: 3
Source: RefSeq, a predicted model, not a curated record